This 188-nucleotide unclassified non-coding RNA is filed under the name uncultured fungus. RNAcentral describes it as "sequence contains ITS2". Lineage: Eukaryota; Fungi. The record is from RNAcentral.
AAUCAUCAAUCUAACAUUGCUUUUGUGAUGCUGGAUUGGAUUUGGAGACUGCUGGUCUUACGAUUGGCUUCUCUUGAAUGCAUUAGUUGAAUCGAGUUGCAACGCUACGUGUGGUGUGAUAAUAUCUUCACUGCAUAGUUGUAAUGAUGUUUAGCUUCUAACCGUCCUUCGUUGGACAAUACGUGACC